Long non-coding RNA from Paramisgurnus dabryanus, 1110 nucleotides. RefSeq lists it as uncharacterized. Lineage: Eukaryota; Metazoa; Chordata; Actinopteri; Cypriniformes; Cobitidae. The record is from RefSeq and is a predicted model, not a curated record.
AAAGUAUUUCGCUUUUUGUUUGGAGAUGAACGAGACAACACGAGGCACAGCGACAUAAAUAUGACCAACCAGAUCCCAAGUAGACAGGAACAAAUGAAGAUAUAGCGCAUAGAAAGACUUAUUCUUGGUGAUCAACUGCUAUUGACAUUUUUGAAUUGGGACAAUUGUGGAGUGAUUCGGAAGAAAAACGUUUGCAACACAUCCAUUCCAGACUGCUCUGACAGAUAAAACUGACACACUUGAUGAGGACACAGUCAAGCUUUAAAAGACCGUGUGAUAAAGCAGUCUUCAAUUACUACGGUGUCUGAAUUGCAAGAAGAAAUGACCCUCCACUUAAACAUGUGACAUCUAAACUGUUUUGUGUUUUAGUUCAGCUUUUUAUAGGUUUAUCUUAAGUUGGUUAAAGGCGGAGUGCACUAUUUUUGAAAGCCAAUGUUAACAUUUGAAAUUACCUAAACAAACAUGCCUCUACCCCAAUAGAAUCUGGACCUUCUUUUGAUAGAGCCACCACACACAUACGCAACCCCGGCAAGGAUGUCGGUUAGUAGACACACCCCUUACUGCUGGUUGGCUACAAGUGUGUUUUGGUAGUCGGCCCAAUUUCCUUUUCCAAAGCGUUUUUCAAACAUUGUGCACUCAGUCUUUAAAUUGCACUUAAAACAUUUUUUUUCAGUAACUUUUUAUGCAGAGAAUUACAUUAUGAUUAUUAUAUAAUCAUUGCUUAUGAAUAUUUAGUGAUUGCAUAUUCAUAGUGUACUUUUCAUUAAUACAUUUAAUGUUAAUGUUGUACAAUUUGAUAGAAGUAGCUCUGUAAUUGCAUUUCUCUGAUAUUUGUUUUAUAUUGUUUCUCUUUGGUCAAGAGAUUAUGUAUGUCUCUGUGCUUGAUUAAUUUAAUUUAGGUAUUUUUGUAAUGUACACAACACAAUAUGAAGUAUAUUAAAUUGUUCUGUAUUCAAAAUCUGUGUAUGUGUCUUAAUAUUUAAUGAUUUUAAUAUAACAUUUUAAAUAUUAAAAACAGCUUUAUAAUAAAAUAGUAGUAUAAUGCUAAUACAUUUCUAUUAAUGUAAUGCUAGUAUAUUUCUAAUAUGCUGAAGUACUAUUAAAGUGUUC